Molecule: long non-coding RNA, 3448 nt
Filed under: Homo sapiens (human)
Lineage: Eukaryota; Metazoa; Chordata; Mammalia; Primates; Hominidae
Description: HSALNT0037721
Source: RNAcentral
AUUUGUUUCACUCCCCAAAUCACAGUAAAUCCCCAGGUUUUCAUGGUUUAUUUUUACAGGUUUAACAACAUCACUUACACCAGCCCCACCUUUGCCCUCACAUGGUGGUCAUGUCUGAGCCGCACUGAUGUUGUUAAGAUCACAGUUUCCCUUGCAGCAGUCCAAAACGCCAUUUCAGGUUUUCAGAGCAUUUCAGGUUUUCAGUGAGGUCCCAAGGAGGAAGGUGGAGGAAAUAGGGGAUGGGGAAUAUAGAGGGUAGGGAUAUGGUGGGGGAAGAGCAUGAAUUGUAAUAGUCCAACAAUACAUCUUCCCUGAAAAUGUGCUCUAUUACACCAGUAAUUUCUAAUGAAAAACUUCAUUCUUCACACACUGUGGUUAAGCAUCAUCAAAUCAGUACUGAAAAGACCUUUGAUCGUAUUUGCAAGAUGCACUAAAAUGAACUUUCACUGACCAAGAUUUCAAAGUUUGUAAUUAAUACUCUUGAAAAAUCCCUGACUAAUCUGUCAACUCUCAACGUCUUUAACCACACAGUUCAAAACCAUGAGGUGGCGUACACAGCCCCUAAACUUUCCACAUAUUGUCAUAUGAUUAUUCAAGAUAAUUUUCCCUUUGGGUUUGCAUUAUGAAACUCAACCAACUUUGGUAAUAUAUUCACCGGUGGGGGAAAUACAAUGAUUUGAAUGAGUGUAAAAUAGAGUAUGGGUUUUAUCUAUCUGGUGCCAAAAACAGAACGUAGGGCCAGAGGUAGGAAUUAAAUGAGGCAGAUUUCAAUAUAAAGAAAAUUUUAAAAAAAUAAACUUGAAAAGGAACCCAAUGGCUGGUGAAAAGGAGGGUUUCUUCACUCAUAAGUGUUCAGGGAGUGUGCCCUCCAAUGGCACCCUAGAGAAGAAAAAUGAACUGGCUGUGAAGAGGAGUUGACUGCCAAGAUUCUUUCUAAAUCUAAAGUUCUGGAGCAGUUUAAAAUACUCCUUCUAGCCUUCUCCAUUUUUCCUAGACUGCAACAGAAACCUCAGAAUGAUUAUUGUCUCAAUGGACGGAUCCGGCAUCAUUCCUGUUAGUUAUUGUUUGACUCUUAGUUAUUGUUUGACUCUGAUUCCAGGUACCCACCCACCUCUGUUCCUGGCUGUCAAGAUGAUAAUAAUAAUUACCAUCCUUUCACUCACAAAUGGUAUGCUGGAUUCCUACCCAGUGUUAGGUACAAUUCUGGACUUUAGAGGUUUAAUGGUACACACUACAGGAACAGGUCUCACAUCGUGAAGCUGUUGAGGCGUUUUAAAAAUUUUUAAAAAUAUAUGAUCUCUUUAAUACAAAAUAAACUUGAGAAGAUAAUAUAGCAUUGAUUAUUACACAGUUACAGUAUUUUUAUUACCAGGGGGUAUUUUUAUAUGGGGCUAAGCAGUGUAUUAUUAAAGUUUAGUUUUGUUACCAAACAUGCUUCCAUACUAUAAGCAUAAAUUUGAGAAUAUCUGCUUUAAAGAAAGCAGAAGCACUCAGCCCUCAAGGGAUGACACUGUGUUUGACUAUAUUAAUAUGUAUAUUUGGGAGUGAGGGAAAAAUUGUAACAUCAGUUUGGCUUCCCACCUCCAUCUAGUUGCAGUACUCAAUUUAUUUUUCUGCUCUUUUUGACUCUCCCUACAGUUUCCUUAUUUCAGUUGGGAGAGUAGGAUGGCCAAGGAUGGGCAGUGACUAAGCUUUGCAGUCCUCUGAACAAACCAUAUUUUCCCAGCAUGGCAUGGUGUUAGUCCUAUAAUAGAUGUUCAGGGUGGGAAGUGCCCAGUACACUUGGAGGGACACCCCAGCUAUUCCUAGGACUCCAUGCAGAAGGUUUUCCUGCCUCUUCCCAUAUGUCUCACCCCUGUUCUCAGCAUAAGAUGACCACAUGCUGUUUUUUGUGAAAAAUCCCUUACCCAAACUUGAAAUGUCCCUUCAUUAGCCCCUUUCGUCUGGCUACCUUGGUAGAGUCUUUUUCUCCAUCCCUUUAAUCUGGGCUGAGUUAUGACUUGCUUUGCCAGUAGAAUAUGGGGAACAUGUCACUGUGUGAUUUCCAGAGUUUAGGCCUUAAGAAGCUUUGAAUCCCCCAUUAUCACUCUCCUAUAACCGUGAGAAUACCUGCUGUGCAGAAGCCCAGUCUAGCCUGCUGGAGGACAAAAGGCCACGUAGAGAUGGACCAAGGUGCCUUGGCCAACAGCCAGCACCCACUGCCAGAUAUGAGAGAGAGGCCAUCUUGGACAUCCUAGUCCUGUUGAACUCAGAUGACUGCAGCCACAGGAGUGAUCCCAGUGCCUCACUGCUUCCAGUUGCUGGAGGAUAUGUGGUGCUGCACUGACAAAUGCCUCCACCACUGUGGCAGACGUGUGACCCUUGACGUUCUUCCUAAGUCAGAAUCUGUAUUCUGUGUGUGCCUAGUGUGGAGAACAUGGAUCUGCCCAGCCACACUGGCUCAGAUUCUCUGAGAGGACCAGGGCAGUAAUGGUGCCCAGGAGUACUCUAUGAUGUUGCCACCGGAGGAAGGUGCCAAGGAUAUCGGCUUCAGAGCCAGCUACCAUGUGAAAAGUCCAGCUUGAUGACCUAGAAGGACCUUUACCUGCAGAAGGACAAGGCUUCAACUCUGUUCUGCAGAUUCUCCUUCAGUAAAUUGGGAGUGCCCUUCCACACUGGUCAACAGGCCCCUCCCUGCUGCUUUGGAUCACCACCUUAAGUCAAACACAAUUCAAGUGCCUUCAAAAGAGCAGCACAUGGACUGGCAAAUCGUGACUGGUGAAAAUGGGCACAAUCAAGUAGUUAACCUGCACCUAUUCUCACUUUUUGCAGACUUCCAAACUCGCUGAAUGCACAGAGGCCUUGGCCUGGCUUAUCUCCUCCUCGCUCACUUAUCCUGAAGAAUUGCUUUCCCUUUAGACAAACAUUCUGUAAAGGAUCAGAUGGUAGGUCUGUGGCAGCUAAUUUCCCAUCUUAGUCCUUAUGCCUGACUAAGCAGUCAAUGAAAGAAAAAUAAACCUGAAACACUCACACGAGGCAUAAUCUCAUAGCGUGUGCUGUGAUUCUACUUCUCUCAAUUUACCCAACAACUACUAGAAAGGGGAGCUCCAUUCCUGUUUUCAUUGCCCACUGGCUGGCUCCUCCAGGGAGGGUCAGACCUUAGCUUGGUGCGUCUCCUGGUCCCAGGAACACAUACAUUCUCAUUGGUUUUCUCUGCAACCAAGUUUCAUUAGCAUAAAAUGACAUUCCACAGGUCUAUUAAAUAAUCAGGACUCCAGCUAAUAUUUUCUCUGAAUCAAUUUAAAUUAUAUUUUAUGUUGAUUUGUUCCUUCAGUUGAUAAACAAUAUUUAGCAUAAUCUGAAAUGUUAGAAUAGAGAAAUUGCCUUCCUUACCAAACAACAACAAAAUCACUUUUGUUUACCCUCACUAAAUAAUUAAACUUGAAGAAAAUUUACCUUUAAAAUGUCC